UGGUCCCGCCUGUCCUAUUGGGGGCGCUAAUGCAGUAAAAUCUGAUGUGCAAUACAACAUUAAACAUCAUAAGAAGAAGGAGGGGAGCAGAAGCCAGGUCCAUUGGAUUCUGGAAGAAGAGUAGGUGCAUAACUUUUCAGAAGUCUCUUCCAGAAAUAGCAGAAACUGGAGAUGUGAAAAAGAUGAGCAACCUUGCAAUGCGCAGCCCAAUGUACUUUACUAAAGCCAAAGAAGAGGAAAGGCUCUGGAUAGAGGAAAAGAGAAGAGACACCCAAAAACUCAGUGGAAAGGAGGCUAAAGACUUUUACCAAAGCCUUCUACAGGAGAGUGAUGCAGAAAAUCCAAGAGAGCGACGAGCGGUGAAAACAGGGAGGGUGAAAAGAGCAGCAGGACAAAAUCGAAGAAGAGGAGAGGGACGAAGUUUAGAAUCUACUCCUGUCCAAACAGUUGGUACCUCACAGCGUGAUGGGCACAAACUUCUGCGAUUUGCCCAGGAAGGCAAUACUCAAGGCCUUAAGGACCUUAUGAGAGAUGGCUGUGAUGUAAACUUCCGUGAUGAUUUUUACUGGACAGGUGUGAUGUGUGCUAGUCAGGCUGGAAAGACAGAGGCUGUUCGGCUGCUUCUGCAGCAUGGAGCUGCAUGGAUUGGUGUUGUGGACAAACAGGGCAGAGAUGCACGGGAUUUGGCCAUGCAGGCAGGUCACCAUGAUGUAGUGAGAGAACUGGAGCAUUUUGGUGUGUCAGAGAGUACUCCCACUGCAAAUGAUGCAAACAGUGGUCGUUCUCUGUGGUGUAGUGUGUGUGCUGUACAUUACACAGACAGCACUCAAACACACAACAAGUCCACGCUGCAUCAAUUCAGUGAGCUUCGUCCCCCACCCACCCCUCAAUACUGCCUGCCCUCCUCUAGCACCAGCUAUAAAAUGAUGCUCCGCUUAGGGUGGGAUCCCUUUUCUGGUCUUGGACCUGCCCAUAGCGGCCGGAAAAAUCCAAUCAGCACGGUACUUAAGAGGGAUCAGAAAGGACUUGGAUUUGGAGUGACUCCACAGCCUAAAGUGACUCAUUUCCGGGCAAAAGAUUCUCAGGCAGUGAAACAGCCUAAAGAGAGAAGAUUAAGACUGGAGAGAGGAUCAAAGCUCAACAAAAAAGAACUUAAAAUGAAAGAUGAGAGAGACAAGGUCUGGGAAAGGGACUAUCGCUCGUCGUUUAAUAUUAACCUCUGACUUGUUUCUUUUGACCUCGGACCUUAUGUGCUUUAUGAUAAACAUUUGAUUGCAUAGUGAAAAAACUAGUUUGUCUGACAGCAACAGAGUUUAUUGAGUCAUGUUAACGGAACUAUGCAAAAUUGAAAAAUAUUUUGAAAAACGGUUUUAGGUUUGACAAUAAAUUAAUUAACUAAUUACUCACCCCUCCUAUGCCAAGAGAAGCGACAGUGGGUUCUGAUUUUUACAAACGGUUUCUAUUUCUGUGAUGUCAUUGCUGACAACUAAUUGAGAUCUCAUUCAAAGACAGUUCUGCGCAUUAUGAAUAUUAAUCAUCCAACAUGGACGAGGAGAGGCUGAUUGUACAUUUAAAAGGAAAAACGCAUAACAAAUCCCCCAAGUUUCACUAAAGGAAAGCCAUAUAAAUUAGAGGGAUGCAUCUUCUCUCUGUGUGUGCGUGUGUGCUGGAGAUGCUCUACACCCCUAUUUGCGUUCAAUAUGGACCGCCAAAUUGCCUAUCCCUAUAAUCUUAUUGUGUCACUUCUAGUUAGGACAAGAUGCAGCAUUCUCAAUGAGUAGACUUGUUGAAACAAGAUGAACUAUGAUGGUGGAGUAUUUUAUAGACCAGUUUACAUAAACAUGACUCGUACAGGAAAAUGUUUGGACUGGUUAGCUUUGCUUACUGCUGGUUUCCGAGAUUGAAACCGCAGGAAGGAAAAGGCAGAGCUCUGCCCUGAUAAGGUUUCCUGCAAAAUCUUUGGCAGUCAGUGAACACUCUGCAGUUCCAUGGUCUCUGAUCAUCUGAUUCUGUGUUUAUCAGCCUUUAAAGUACCAGCCAUCUUAAGACGACAAGUUCGUACACCAGCUGAUACAAUGGGAAGCAUGCGAUUUCCUGCAUUGGUCUUUGUACUUUACUACAGUAAGGUGCUAUUGGCUAUAGCUGAUGAAGUGAUAAAAUUAGACAUGUUUCCUGAAUUUGUGGAUUACAAAAAAUGUGGGGAUAAGAUGCUUCAAAGAGUCAUAAAACCAGGAGGUCUGCUGCAAAAAGAGCUCAACAACAAUAAAGAUUUUAAGUCAAUGUGGAAAGCUAAUGAAACAUGUGGGAAGAAGAUUCCAGGUGGAACACAAGAGCACAUGGCUGCAUUGAAGAGCUAUGCAAAAGCUAAUAAAAAAUUUCUUAAAUCUUUCAACACACAACUUUAUAACAAGGGCACGAACAUCACAAUGUACCAAGAUCAGUUUUCCUUCAAAUCUCUUCACUUCCUACUGACAGAUGGCAUGCAACUUUUACGCAAAGAAAACACAACGUGUCAUAAUGUGUAUUAUGGCACAGAGAAAAAGUACAAUAUAGCGCCUGGAGAUUUAAUCAGAUUUGGGAGAUUUUAUCCAGCACAACUAGAGUAUAGUCUUGCAAAUGAGGAUGCAGUAGACAGCGAUGGGACCAUUUUUAACAUCACUUCUUGUACUGUGGUCAGUCUUGAUGAAAGUGGGUGUAAGGCAGAGGAAAUCGAUCUGCUAAUAUCCCCUGAGGAAGCUUUUGAUGUUGAAGACAUCAGGAAAGUUGGCCCCAAAGAUGAAGAAGUUACAAUGGUCAUCUUAAAGCCAUCUGCUUCUCACAGGUCCUUCGACUGUAGCCACCUGUUCAGCUCGUCCACAUCUGAUGAAUCCUCUUCUAAUUUGCUGAGGUCCAGUUUAAUGAACGUGAUGACUCCCUUUUUGAUGGUGUGCAUAUACACACUGGCUCUGUAAUAUAUAAAUGAUUCUGUAUUGUCUUGAAGAUUCCUAAAAAAUUAAAGCAUCAUUCCUUUUCUUUAAAAAAUACCCAGUUUU
This is a non-coding RNA of Paramisgurnus dabryanus, 3032 nucleotides long. The record is from RefSeq and is a predicted model, not a curated record. Lineage: Eukaryota; Metazoa; Chordata; Actinopteri; Cypriniformes; Cobitidae.